CCCGGGUCUUGUACACACCGCCCGUCACACCAUGGGAGUGGGUUUCACCAGAAGUAGGUAGUCUAACCGCAAGGGGGGCGCUUACCACGGUGGGAUUCAUGACUGGGGUG
This 110-nucleotide ribosomal RNA is filed under the name uncultured bacterium. Its description in RNAcentral is "partial 16S ribosomal RNA". It matches the Rfam family "Bacterial small subunit ribosomal RNA", at positions 1373 to 1482 of the family's 1533-position model. The record is from RNAcentral.